This 521-nucleotide ribosomal RNA is filed under the name uncultured bacterium. RNAcentral's name for it is "bacterial SSU rRNA". It matches the Rfam family "Archaeal small subunit ribosomal RNA", at positions 343 to 866 of the family's 1478-position model. The record is from RNAcentral.
GACCUCCGCAAUGUGAGAAAUCGCGACGGGGGGAUCCCAAGUGCCAUUCUUAACGGGAUGGCUUUUCAUUAGUGUAAAGAGCUUUUGGAAUAAGGGCUGGGCAAGACCGGUGCCAGCCGCCGCGGUAACACCGGCAGCUCUAGUGGUAGCAGUUUUUAUUGGGCCUAAAGCGUCCGUAGCCGGUUUAAUAAGUCUCUGGUGAAAUCCUGUAGCUUAACUGUGGGAAUAGCUGGAGAUACUAUUAGACUUGAGACCGGGAGAGGUUAGAGGUACUCCCAGGGUAGAGGUGAAAUUCUGUAAUCCUGGGAGGACCGCCUGUUGCGAAGGCGUCUAACUGGAACGGUUCUGACGGUGAGGGACGAAAGUUAGGGGCGCGAACCGGAUUAGAUACCCGGGUAGUCCUAACUGUAAACGAUGCGGACUUGGUGUUGGGGUGGCUUUGAGCUGCUCCAGUGCCGAAGGGAAGCUGUUAAGUCCGCCGCCUGGGAAGUACGGUCGCAAGACUGAAACUUAAAGGAAUU